UACGUAGGGUGCAAGCGUUAAUCGGAGUUACUGGGCGUAAAGCGUGCGCAGGCGGUUCGGAAAGAAAGGUGUGAAAUCCCAGGGCUUAACCUUGGAAUGGCACUUUUAACCACCGAGCUAGAGUGUGUCAGAGGGAGGUGGAAUUCCGCGUGUAGCAGUGAAAUGCGUAGAUAUGCGGAGGAACACCGAUGGCGAAGGCAGCCUCCUGGGAUAACACUGACGCUCAUGCACGAAAGCGUGGGGAGCAAACAGG
Molecule: ribosomal RNA, 253 nt
Filed under: uncultured bacterium
Lineage: Bacteria
Description: partial 16S ribosomal RNA
Rfam family: Bacterial small subunit ribosomal RNA
Source: RNAcentral